GGGUAUGGCUCAGUGGUACAGUGCGUGUAUGCUAAGCAUGAGGUCCUGGGUCCAAUCCCUAGUAUGCCCA
RNAcentral lists this transfer RNA (70 nucleotides) under Camelus bactrianus (Bactrian camel). It matches the Rfam family "tRNA". Rfam says of the family: Transfer RNA (tRNA) molecules are approximately 80 nucleotides in length. Their secondary structure includes four short double-helical elements and three loops (D, anti-codon, and T loops). Lineage: Eukaryota; Metazoa; Chordata; Mammalia; Artiodactyla; Camelidae. The record is from Rfam by way of RNAcentral. RNAcentral also lists the same sequence under 2 other names.